UCGAAUUCUGAGGGGGGGAAGACGAGAAGUGGAGACUGUCGCUGGCCCCUUCUACUCUGGGGCAUGUGCACGUCUUCCUUUUCAUUGACCCCCUUCCUCACACACAACACACCUGUGCACCUGUUGUAGGUCCUCGGAAGAGGAUCUAUGUUUUUUUCACAUCACACACCGUCGUAUGUCUAUAGAAUGUAUUGAAGACCAUCUGAUGAUGGGUCGAUAAAUAAAUCAUA
RNAcentral lists this unclassified non-coding RNA (230 nucleotides) under uncultured Boletaceae. Its description in RNAcentral is "sequence contains ITS1". The record is from RNAcentral. Lineage: Eukaryota; Fungi; Basidiomycota; Agaricomycetes; Boletales; Boletaceae.